GGGCACUGGAAGGUCCNUAAACCGAAAGGGGCUCUGCCCGCCCGAGGAUGGGCCGGCGGCCGAUUAGGUAGUUGGUGGGGUAACGGCCCACCAAGCCCAUAAUCGGUACGGGCAGUGAGAGCUGGAGCCCGGAGAUGGACACUGAGACACGGGUCCAGGCCCUACGGGGCGCAGCAGGCGCGAAACCUCCGCAAUGCUCGAAAGAGCGACGGGGGGACCCCAAGUGCCGUGGUACAACCACGGCUUUUCCGGAGUGUAAGAAGCUCCGGGAAUAAGGGCUGGGCAAGGCCGGUGGCAGCCGCCGCGGUAAUACCGGCGGCCCGAGUGGUGGCCACUAUUAUUGGGCCUAAAGCGUCCGUAGCCGGGCUUGUAAGUCCCUGGCGAAAUCCCACGGCUCAACCGUGGGGCUUGCUGGGGAUACUGCGGGCCUUGGGACCGGGAGAGGCCGGGGGUACCCCUGGGGUAGGGGUGAAAUCCUAUAAUCCCAGGGGGACCGCCAGUGGCGAAGGCGCCCGGCUGGAACGGGUCCGACGGUGAGGGACGAAGGCCAGGGGAGCGAACCGGAUUAGAUACCCGGGUAGUCCUGGCUGUAAAGGAUGCGGGCUAGGUGUCGGGCGAGCUUCGAGCUCGCCCGGUGCCGAAGGGAAGCCGUU
This 653-nucleotide ribosomal RNA is filed under the name uncultured archaeon. RNAcentral's name for it is "bacterial SSU rRNA". It matches the Rfam family "Archaeal small subunit ribosomal RNA", at positions 165 to 816 of the family's 1478-position model. The record is from RNAcentral.